This is a long non-coding RNA of Physeter macrocephalus (sperm whale), 508 nucleotides long. RefSeq lists it as uncharacterized. The transcript has 3 exons. The record is from RefSeq and is a predicted model, not a curated record. NCBI's taxonomy places the organism in Eukaryota, Metazoa, Chordata, Mammalia, Artiodactyla, Physeteridae.
UCUCACUGUUGUGGCCUCUCCCGCCGCGGAGCGCAGGCUCCGGACGCGCAGGCUCCGGACGCGCAGGCUCAGCGGCCAUGGCUCACGGGCCCAGCCGCUCCGCGGCAUGUGGGAUCUUCCCGGACCGGGGCACGAACGCGUGUCCCCUGCAUCGGCAGGCGGGCUCUCAACCACUGCGCCACCAGGGAAGCCCUGGAUUAAGUAUUUAAUGAAGAUGAAAAAACAUCACCUCUUGGAUUAAAGUUACCAGCCUGCCUCCUGGUCCUCAGGCCCUGAAACUUGCCUCUCCAUCAGUUUCGCAGAGGUUUGGGUUAAACUAAAGUAUUAUGAGGGAGGCCGAGGACUCCAUGCUCCGGGCAGAGAAACGGCGCUGGGAUUAGGGAUUGCCACUUCUGAGAGGAUGCUGGGAAUCUGCAGAGGGAGACGGAAAUUCCUGGCUGCCUCAUUGACUCUGCUCUGCAUCCCAGCCGUCACCUGGCUUUACCUGUUUGCUGGGAGCUUUGACGGU